UCGAUGAAUGCUAGGUGUUGGAGGGUUUCCGCCCUUCAGUGCCGCAGCUAACGCAUUAAGCAUUCCGCCUGGGGAGUACGACCGCAAGGUUGAAACUCAAAGGAAUUGACGGGGGCCCGCACAAGCGGUGGAGCAUGUGGUUUAAUUCGAAGCAACGCGAAGAACCUUACCAGGUCUUGACAUCUUUUGAUCACCUGAGAGAUCAGGUUUCCCCUUCGGGGGCAAAAUGACAGGUGGUGCAUGGUUGUCGUCAGCUCGUGUCGUGAGAUGUUGGGUUAAGUCCCGCAACGAGCGCAACCCUUAUGACUAGUUGCCAGCAUUUAGUUGGGCACUCUAGUAAGACUGCCGGUGACAAACCGGAGGAAGGUGGGGAUGACGUCAAAUCAUCAUGCCCCUUAUGACCUGGGCUACACACGUGCUACAAUGGAUGGUACAACGAGUUGCGAGACCGCGAGGUCAAGCUAAUCUCUUAAAGCCAUUCUCAGUUCGGACUGUAGGCUGCAACUCGCCUACACGAAGUCGGAAUCGCUAGUAAUCGCGGAUCAGCACGCCGCGGUGAAUACGUUCCCGGGCCUUGUACACACCGCCCGUCACACCAUGAGAGUUUGUAACACCCGAAGCCGGUGGCGUAACCCUUAGGA
RNAcentral lists this ribosomal RNA (641 nucleotides) under Lacticaseibacillus sp. Its description in RNAcentral is "bacterial SSU rRNA". It matches the Rfam family "Bacterial small subunit ribosomal RNA", at positions 806 to 1447 of the family's 1533-position model. The record is from RNAcentral. Lineage: Bacteria; Bacillati; Bacillota; Bacilli; Lactobacillales; Lactobacillaceae.